This 90-nucleotide transfer RNA is filed under the name Opitutales bacterium. RNAcentral describes it as "tRNA-Ser". It matches the Rfam family "tRNA". From Rfam's summary of the family: Transfer RNA (tRNA) molecules are approximately 80 nucleotides in length. Their secondary structure includes four short double-helical elements and three loops (D, anti-codon, and T loops). The record is from RNAcentral. Lineage: Bacteria; Pseudomonadati; Verrucomicrobiota; Opitutia; Opitutales.
GGAGAGAUGGCAGAGCGGCCGAUUGCGGCGGUCUUGAAAACCGUUGAGCCCGCAAGGGUUCCGGGGGUUCAAAUCCCUCUCUCUCCGCCA